GGCCAUGGAGAGACCACGGCAGGCACUUGCCCAUGGGAGAUGCAGGGGAGCUCGACUGGGCGCGGUGAGCUCCAGGGCGCGCGGUGCGGCAACAGAGCCGGAGCUGAGCGCACGCAGGGGAGAAGGAACGGCUGGGAGGAAGAAGCUUGGGGAGAUGGGGAGGAGAGAGGUCCGCGCGUAGCCAUGGAGUUGGGCAGAGCCGAGCAGGGACAGGGUAGAAGGAACCGCUCGACAGGGGAGAGGAGAGGAUAAAGCCAAGCGCCUGAAGGAGAACGUCGGCGAGAUUUUUCUCCGUGCGGCCAGGAAACUCCACGGCGGGGAAAAAUCCACAGAGAUGGCUGAACAAAAAUCAGACGAGAACAACGGUUCAAAAAAUCGGAGGGAGGACGGCUGCAGAGGGCGCUCGGCCAACUAGGAGCUGGAGAGAGCGUCACGAGGAAGAUAGGAACAGAGACACGUAUGCGAGGGGAUUUUAGAGAUAAGGAAGAUGGCGUUGAGAAGAUAGAUGAGAAUCAGGGGCGGUGGCUUAUGAGAUAUUUUCUUUUUCUAUUUUUUUUAACAAAAGUGAAAUACAGAUAUUUUAGCGAUAAACAAAGUGUCGAUACGCUAUACGGAAAACGGCUACACACUCUAAUUGCCGAAUCACGAAGCGAAAAAUCAGAGGAAUAACAACUCAGACGGUUCGGUCCGAAUCUCCUUUGGAUAACUUUCGUGACUGUUCCGGCCACGAUGUAAACGGACCAGAUUGAAACGAGUUCGGCUUCGGUAUUUUAAUCUGCAUUUGAUUCAGUUGACUCCAGAUGAUUUCCGUUCGCUACUCGAACACUCGACUAGAGGACAAUUCAAUUAAAAAUCUGUAGACGCGAUGUCACGGAUAACAAAAAAAGAGACUAAAUUAUUUUACACUGAAAUCUUAGUCGUCGGGUUCUUCUUAAUCUAUUCGGGACAAAAUCAUCCGAGUGUGUCGGGUUUCCGAAUUCGUAUUUGCGCGAGCGAUGAAUUUUAAAUAAUCACCGGACGCAAUGAUCUUUGGAACAACGAGGUUCCAAACUUCACGAAAAUUUAGGACGAGCCCGAAAAAAAAUGAUGUCGAACUCGCGACAGCUGAAACAGAUGCGAUAUUAAAAUCGCGAUAGAUGAAAAUGAUUAAAAUUUAGCAUCUGUUUUAUCCACUGAUAUUACGUGCUUAAAUCCAUACUCGUUGUCGAGUGGAAUAUAAACACCUGGGGUGUUACAACCCUUCCCCCUUAAAAGAAUCUCGUCCCGAGAUUCGGAACGAAAGACUUCUAAGAGUAGAGCAGCAUGUAACCCAUUUCCUUAUCAGCGAUAAUCGUAAGGCAGUUUUGAGCGAAGGCAAGUGUCUCAGGAUGUUGUUUCCCCUAGUGGACAUAACAUGUAUCGACAUAAGCCAAUUUAGAAAUGUCCAUUAGUAGAGACAACAUCAGCCAGAGGAACACAUAAGGUUUCAUGUGUGCAGUUUGCUUUUUCUGAUGAUACUAUACUAUCUGAGUCUGUUGGGCGAGCAGUAGAUAUGCGACUUUACCCAAACAGAAUCAGAUGCAACCUCUUGGGUAAAACACGCAGAAAUAGGUUUACCAACAAGUGGUUACAGUAAGUUCAUAGCACACGAGACGGAUGUGAAUGUCGAAUAACAUCACAGUUGACCCGUGGCUAGCCAGAAAAUCCAAGUCCCUGAAAGGUGAUAUAGAUUCGAGAAAAUUACCAAUGGAGGGAUCUGUAGAUACGGACUUUACAACCAGUCCAUUUUAUCCAGCACUAGUCACAGCUCGACUUGAUCACACAUGCUGGAAAAGCAUACGUGAGGCGAUUGAGGCACGACUAGAGCGAUGAUUAGGUGGUUAUUGGUCGACUUAACUUAACUUUUGUGAGUACUUUCUUUAGAGUGGGUUAGACCAAAGUGAGUUCAGGCAAAUCGAUAAAACAAUCUCUAAACUCAACCUUUGUUUCAAAUGCAGUUACAAGUUAGUCAAAACCAACAUGUUGAACUACUUUUGACAUUGAGUAAGUCCUCUCAGUACCAUCGGUAAGCCAAGGGUUGAGAGUUUACUCAUAUUAACAGUUGGUCAUGCAUUUGGGCAGGAAUCCAUUUGGUCUGGUCGUUCAUCUGUUUCUUCUAUACGAGAUGAACUGACUUGGUCCAGGAAUACAUGAAUUAAAUAGGAGAGCAAAUGAACAAACUCCUGCAUUUCAGCAGCAGGGGAAAGUCAAUCUCCAUUUUGAGAGCUAAUCAGUUGCCUCUCGACACUAAAAAGCUCCAAGGUUUCACCUUUACACAAAGGAUGUAAAGGAAACUUGUAUGAGUAGUCACUACCAAGAUCAACAGAAAAGAGACCACAAAUGAAAGUGGUAUGCCCUUUUGAUCCAACAAAGACGAUAGAUGUUGCUUGGUCACUUCGACAAACAACACCGAAAUUGUUUCAAGGAAGAGAUCUAUGGAAGAUAAUAUAUUAGUGUAGUUCCACAAUGGAUCAUGACUAGAGACCUCGAUACCAGCAUGCGCCAAGCAGCAUAACCUUGCGUGUACAUUCACAAGGGGCUCUCAGUUUCGCUACGGCACCAUAAGUCCUGAAUCAUGACACCAUCACCGAACUGGCACCAAUAAUGAACCUCACGUAGCAAAAACAGAUUGUGCUAAGAUAACACCUUGAUAUAGUCUCAUAAUGGAUUACAACUACUAACCAUGAUACCAGCGUGUGCCGAGCAGCACAACCAUGUGUGUACAUUCACAGGAGGCCCUCGGUCUCAUCGCGGCACCAUUGGUUUUAGUCAUAACACCAUUACCAGACGUAACCAAUAAGAAAUCUUGCGCAACACAAAUGGAUUGAGCAAGGGUGACAAUAUACAAAGAGACUCUACCUAUCAAAACGGUUACAAGUAGAAAGCCACAUAGAUCAUGGCCCGAUGAAAUGAACAAGACGUGGCCAUAACCUAAACUUGAUAAAAGGAGUAUGAUGGGAGACUGUAAGUUCAGCCCCAAGCAUAUCUCUAUGCCCAUCGCAGAGAGUACAAGGGUCAAGGAUUAGUAUCUGAUUAGAUACAGAGGGGAAACAAUCAUAAGAUUAAGUUGGUAUGCCUUCGAUAGGUAUGGGGAAACCAAAGGCAUCAAAUUCAAGAAAAUGGUCGGACAUACUUUUCCUAGGUUGGGUUGAUAAUUCAACAUGGCGAUCCUUAAGAACAGGCGAACUCGUUAAGGUACAUCAGCUUGCACCAAUAAACAAGGGAAUGGUUUUAGAAGGAAGCAUGACUCGAGAUUCUUGUUUAAGCCUAGGCACAAUUUAUGUCCAACAAAGAAAUUAUCUACGCAUUUAUUUGCAUGAGUUUAGUCAUGGAGUGAUAACGGAGAAUUCAACUAUGGGGUCAUGGUUCACUAAAUAAGAACAUGGCCUAAUUUUGGGUUUAAGCAACCAAACUACCAACCUUCUAUCAGCACAUCAAGCACGAGAGCAAACACCAUAUAAGACCUGAAUAUGUUACCUAAAGAAUGGAGGACACCUAUUUCAUCGAAGUUCAUAAUUCAGCAUUACACCAUAUUAUCUACAAUCAAUGGUUGCUGGAAUAAAGAUGAGAGAAGCAUUUUGGGUGUAUAGGUGACAAACAUGAUGCAACAAUCAGGAUGCAUGCUCGUCCUACACGUCCUCACUGAUUUUGCCAACAUAAUGUGGCAAUAACGUUCUAUACCGGUGGCAUACUUACGAUUCUCACGGUAUUUUACUAGUCGUCAGCUACACAUACAUUUUCGAGGUUAGUGUACCUGCAGAAAAUCCAUCACAGCCCAAUUUCCCAUGAUGCAAUUCACACAUGACAGUUUAUCACAGUUUAUACUCCAUAUAUUGCUAUAUGGAGGCCAGCUCAUCAUUAAGCGCCGAGCCACGCAUAGGCGCUGUUGCCACACUUUAACCAUAGGGCAACUCAUUAUGGUAACUAACCUUCUUACCUAAGCGUAGGUGCGUCGUUACAAGUACAUUACACUUCUCAGUAUUCCCAUGUCUGUAUACCCAUACACACACAUGGGGUACUGAAUUCCCAGAAAAGUAAUUACUCCACAUCGCAGCCUUCAUAUAUACAUAUGUGGAAUAUGUAUAUAAUCAAGCGCUUUUUACACUCUUCCCUAGACCGACGUUUGUUCGGUCAUGCUCUCACAUCUCACCUUACCUUGAGCGUCGAUCCAUUCAAAACUGAAUGGCCUCAAAAAUAACAAUACACAUGUAUGCAAUACCCACCCGGUUAUGGGUUAUGGUUUUCAACUAAGCCACCUAAUAGUCCUUAGUUUAGGGCUUAACAGAGGAUGUCGCUAGCAUUAUAGUUUUUCAAAACUGUUUUUCAAAGCCAAACAAUGUGUUUAGUUGAAAAUAGGUUUUCUAAAACCAAAACUUUUGUUUUUAAAAUAUGUGUGUGACUGUAUAUACUUAAUCCUGCUCCGAUACCAGCUGUGGCAGAACCUCCCAAGUUAUUGGGCCCACAUGCACCUGUCCUUGUCUCAAAGACCUCAGACGACUAUGCAUGUGCACCAAAUAACUUAACAGGAUCCGUCCGAUUGCCCCAAGGACAUCGGAUAAACCACUUACAACCAGAACCGCGGAAUUAAGUAACACAAAUCACACACACAACAUUUUUGUAGCGGAAAUCUUAUUAUCAAAUUUUACAGGUUACAAAAAUUUUACAUUAUUUUAUCGGAGUGAUUACAAAUGUAUAAGUUUGAAAUAUAUGCUAGCUCAAGUGAUCAUCCUCAAUAAGAAGAUAAAGACGGGGUAUACUUAUAAAAGAAGGCCGAGCCCACCGGCACUUAACACCAUCACAACAGCACAAGGUUAGAACCUGAAAAACAACAGGGAAUAAAACCCUGAGUAUGGAAUUACUCAGCAAGUCUUACCCGACUAAGGAAAAGACUCUCAAGGGUAUGCUGGAUAAAUAGGAGUCAAGGAGAGGCUUUAGCAAAAAUCAACUUAUACUUUUGCAGAAGUAGCUUACUAAAGUGAGUCCUUACUUUCAAUCUUUUAACGCCAUAUUAAGUAUUAAUAGACUCGAUUUGCAUCUAGUCUAAUUUCACAUCUCAUCAAUACAACAUCAUUUUUAUCCAUAGUGUUCACAUCCUGACUUUAGGUUGCAGGGAAGUGACCAAGUCUUCAUAACCGCGAAGGUACGGCGAUCCGAAUCGAUUAUACUCAGCUGAGGAUCUCCAAUCACACGACAUAUGUAGCACUUAACCCUUGCAUAUGUCAACCCGCCACCGGGGUUCUUAAGACCAGAUCAGGUUCACGCAAACCGAGAGCACAGAUACACCACCGUCCAGCCUCUUGCCACGGAGGGUACACGCUACCCUCGCCACCGCUCCACGCCCAUUUCGUGUUAUCUUAUUCUGGCCUUAGUCUGCCCGAGGCAAGACUUACCCAUGAUGAGGCAUGUCACCAGUUAAAGGGUCCUCGGUCAGCACGCCUACAUACGCGUUAAUCCUUAACCAACCUGGGUAGAACAUCACCUGUUCCUAACCCAAGUCUCAAUUUAAGCAUUUCCAUCCUUAGGAUUGUGUCUGUUCCUUAAGAUGAAAGAGCAUCACAGGGAACUUUGCAGUAAGAUCCCACUAUUGCUCCAAAUGAAAAUAUUCUUGCAGGUAGAAGCCAUCCUCUCCCGGGUUAAAUUGAGGACAACCUCUAUCCACAAGAUCUAAGCAAGGCUAAGCAUUUUUGUAAAUCAUAAUUUUGAUACUUCACAGAAGUAUCUAUAAAGGUAUGGAUAUCAAGGAAAGCAAUGCAUCAAAGGGUUUCAAGUAACUCCUAUGAACCUAAUGCACAUUUCACUAGACUUAAGUGUGUAAAAAGUAUUUAAAACACAAGGAAAGGGGUUGCAUGCACCGGGGCUUGCCUGGGUAACACUAGGUUAGUGUUGUUAGGCGACGACCACUUGACGAGUAUCCCUCGAUUGAGCACUUGCUUGAUUUAACCAUCUUCAGGUUGGUCCAUCAGCUUCAUCUUGCGGAUUAGCCCGUGCUUGAGGUCGACUUGGCUCAUCUUCGGAAUCACGUGAUUAAUUAACGUACCUGAAUGAAAUGCAUUAUGCAUAUGAAUGCAUAUAAACAUGAAUAUUACAAACCUAAAUAGUGCUAUGCGAUAGCGAAUUAAACACCUAAGGGCGAGUUGUUGUACAAUAUUACACGAAAACACUAGUUAUUACUAUACGACUACGCGCAAUAAUUACGGUUCUCUAAAUUAAACGAACCUAACACAAACAUCGCAAACACACCAUACACUUAAAAUAUAAUUAGCCUAGACACGACUCAUCAUCUACAUUAUUUUUAACUUAGCUGGAUUGAAUCCUAACAGAGACAAACUUAUCGAUAUUAUUUUCUUUCACUCAUUUCGGCAAUGCGAGAUAUUUAUCUAGGGCAUUUAAUUGAUCAUUAACAAAGGAUAUCAUGACUAGAAUAAACUAACUAAUUAUACAGGGCACCGACCAUAUCAAUUAAUCAAAUUGACAUAACGACACUAGAAAAUUCUAUUAACUAGCUAAUAGGAAUACUAAACUUAUUUGUAUUUCUUUCAUCAUCAGCUCACCCGAAUAUUACUUAAAUUAAUCUAUCUUUCACAUUACUAACUCUAUCGUACUGCACAUAUAUUUAAUUAACGUUUGAACUAUUCUAAAUAAUUCAUCAGCUUACCGUUUUAACAGCUGACAUGAAUCCGUGAGAUCGAUAGCGAUUUUCCGAUCCAGGCAAUUUGUCGAGCACUUGGCAGAUGCCACACGAACUUCACGCCGCUAGCCUCGUCUUCAUCUGAUUCUUGGGUUUUCUUGGGGAUGCAUGAACGACGACGACCUUCGAUUGAAGUCUGGGGUAAGCUGGUGAGGUGGGGAUUGAGCCGGGGUUGACGUGUUUGACGACUCGACGGCAAACGACGAGAUCGACGACGCGAUUGGGAAUUAAAGUUGAGCGAGCCGAGAGGGCGUACCGGCGAGCAGAAAACAGGACGCGACGGCGGGCAGAGGAGAACUUGGCACGACGUGGGACAACGAAACGCUGCGCGCACGACGAGGAAGCAGAAAGCCAUGACAAGGGAGCUCGGCAUGGGCAGCGGGACACGACCGAUAAGCUGAAGUAGGAGCACAACCAUGGCGAGCAGAGGAUCCACUCGCGUGGUCCUGUGCACGCGGCUGGGCGAGCAGGGCGUGGCCGACGCGCAGGGAGCAGGGCGCUCAGCGCGCGGCAGAGAAGAGGGAGAAGUAAGGCGCGGCACCAGGAAGCUCAGCCACCAGCAGAAGGAACCGCCAUGGCGACCAAGCAGAGAAGGAGCUCCGCGAGCAGGCGGAUUGGCGCGCCAGGGAGAAGGAGAGCGGCUGGGCGCGAUGAAGGGGCUCGGCUGGGCGCAGGGAGGAGCGCCGGGCAGAGGGAGCUGGGGAAGAGAAGCCGAGGCGCGAGCGGCCGAGCUGAAGUCGGGCGCGCAAGGAGCUGCAGCCGGCCAUGGAGAGACCACGGCAGGCACUCGCCCAUGGGAGAUGCAGGGGAGCUCGACUGGGCGCGGUGAGCUCCAGGGCGCGCGGUGCGGCAACAGAGCCGGAGCUGAGCGCACGCAGGGGAGAAGGAACGACUGGGAGGAAGAAGCUUGGGGAGAUGGGGAGGAGAGAGGUCCGCGCGUAGCCAUGGAGUUGGGCAGAGCCGAGCAGGGACAGGGUAGAAGGAACCGCUCGGCAGGGGAUAAAGCCAAGCGCCUGAAGGAGAACGUCG
RNAcentral lists this long non-coding RNA (7735 nucleotides) under Zea mays. Its description in RNAcentral is "long non-coding RNA (ZMAY_LNC003218)". Lineage: Eukaryota; Viridiplantae; Streptophyta; Magnoliopsida; Poales; Poaceae. The record is from RNAcentral.